GACGAACGCUGGCGGCGUGCUUAACACAUGCAAGUCGAACGGAAAGGCCCUGCUUUUGUGGGGUGCUCGAGUGGCGAACGGGUGAGUAACACGUGAGUAACCUGCCCUUGACUUUGGGAUAACUUCAGGAAACUGGGGCUAAUACCGGAUCGGAGAUCCUGCUGGAUGGUGGGGGUUGGAAAGUUUCGGCGGGUGGGGAUGGACUCGCGGCUUAUCAGCUUGUUGGUUGGGUAGUGGCAUGCCCAGGCUUUGACGGGUAGCCCGCAUGGGUGGGGGACCGGCCACAAUGGGACUGAGAGACGCCCCAGACUCCUACGGGAGGCAGCAGUGGGAAAUAUUGCACAAUGGGCGGAAGCCUGAUGCGGCAACGCCGCGGUCGGGAUGACGGCCUUCGGGUUGUGAACCGCUUUCGCCUGUGACGAAGCGGGAGUGACGGUAAUGGGUAAAGAAGCACCGGCUAACUACGUG
Molecule: ribosomal RNA, 468 nt
Filed under: uncultured bacterium
Lineage: Bacteria
Description: partial 16S ribosomal RNA
Rfam family: Bacterial small subunit ribosomal RNA
Source: RNAcentral